UAAGUGCUUCCAUGUUUUAGUGU
This 23-nucleotide non-coding RNA is filed under the name Gallus gallus (chicken). Lineage: Eukaryota; Metazoa; Chordata; Aves; Galliformes; Phasianidae. RNAcentral also lists the same sequence under 2 other names. The record is from RNAcentral.